UCACCGCCGUGUGUUAGCGAGACUCUUUUAGUCAGUCCGGCGGUAGUGUGAGAGACUUAAAGACUCUCAGUGUUUCCGGUGACACCUGUGAGCGAGUUGUCAAUCUGUGUCAUAACCCACGACCGGUGACACAAGACAGGAAAUGUCCCAAGGACGCAAGUGUGAGUGUGGAGGUGUUGGGUGAUGACCCGCUAAGUCAGUCGGGGGUGGACCACAGUACAAGCAACACUAGCAUCAUCUGAGCUCUCUCUCUCUCUCUCCCUCUGACCCCACGUGCUCUACACUAUGCUCACUUCAGAAAACAGUAAUUAAUAAUAUGGUGGACUUUUCUUGAACUGUGUAAUAAACAAUACUACAUCAACGCGUAGAAAAGGUACUUGUUUAUCCUCGAAGGGACCCGAGUGUGUGUGUGUAGUACAAGUUAAGAAACUUUAUUAAAAAUGGAAUUCCGACAGUCCUUACUGCUGUGUGUGGCGUACGCGCUGUUCCUCAUCCUAGGUGCUGUCAUGUUCAUGUUUCUGGAAUAUGAAGUGAUAGAGACAAGAGAUGUGAUCGAACCCCGAGAGUGGAGUAACCUCAAAGAUAUGGUGAUGCAGGACCCGCCCGCCAAACAAGACGAGCUGGUCACCCUUGCUCUGUGGGUACCUAAGGCCUGCCGAGCUGUGUCCAAUUAUACCGUUCAGUCCCUCCUCAGUCCAGAUAGGAGGGUGGCGGCGACCCUGGAAGUGGAGCGAGUGUGUCCCCACCUCCACCAGGAGAACGUGACGGUAGAGGUGAAGUAUCCCUGGUCCUUCAUCGACGCCCUCUACUUCUCCAUGACCGUCUCUACUACUAUAGGCUACGGACACAUCUCGCCCUCGUUGGCAGCUGGACGCAUCAUGUGUAUGGUGUACUCUCUGGUAGGCAUCCCCCUCACAGGUAUGCUGCUAGCUUGGACCUCUGAGUUCUUCGGCGAACAACUCUUCAAGCUCUUCAGGUCCAAGCUAGACGUACAAAAGCAACAUUCUCGGGGGAUCAUCGCAAUGGCCACCGGUUUUUACAUCAUUAUUGGGUUCGUGGUGUUCAUCUUCUUGCCUGGCGCUGUCUUCACCACCCUAGAGGACUGGACCUAUCUGGAGAGUGUCUACUACGCCUUCAUCACCCUCACCACCAUCGGCUUUGGGGAUUUCGUUACUGGUUCACAGUCAGAAGGGGCGACGAUCUACGUGUACCAGAUCUGCGUCAUCUUGUGGAUCAUGAUCGGACUAGGCUACUGGGUCAUGGUGGCGAACUUUAUCACCAAAGCCCUCAAGUCCAAGCGGCUCCAGAGUUCAAUGAUACGCAGCGCUGAGGAGAUGAAGAAGCUUAUGCAACAGAUGGGCAUCAAACAGAAUGACCCCACCUUCCUCAGACAACACUCAAAGGCUACUGUCAACCUUAUGCUUCAGCUAAGCAGCAUCAUCGCGGUUCAAGGCGGGACGACGGAGAACGGUAGUAGUGACACCCCUUCGUCGCCCGGAUCAUCGUCCACAGAGCCAUCCACCUCCCCGUUAGUCUCUCCCAUGGGUAUCCCCGGCAUCUCGGCGCUGUUCGGGGCGGGAAUGGUACGAAAGCCCCCUCUCAGUCACUUGAUGGGACCAAUGCGUAAAGAGUAUUUACAGGACCUGAGAUGGAGAGAGACGAGGCUCUUAGCUCAACUUCUUCUUUGUACCACGGUAAUCUCCACUCUAGAAGAACAGCAGCAGCAACCUCCACCGUCUCCUAGCAGCAGUCUUCAUCUCUCAGCAGCAUCCAUCCCCUUGUAAAAUGUGACCAUCAUCUCCCAGCAAUAUUAUCAGCAGCAUUGGGCUCUUCACUACAGUAAUAACAGCAACAACCAUCUCCCAGCAGCAUAAACAACAGCGACAACCAUCAUCUCCCAGAAGCACGAAUAACAGCGACAACCAUCAUCUCCCAGAAGCACGAAUAACAGCGACAACCAUCAUCUCUCAGCAGCACAAAUAACAGCAACACUUACUAUCCCCCAGUAGCACCUACUGCCCCCACCCUCACAAAUAACAGAACUUAUCAACAGCUGCAUGCAUGGAUGGGAGGUGUUAUUUGCAGGGUUGGUGGUGUCCUCUGCAGUAGGUGCUUUAGAGUUUUGCCAACAGAAGGCUGCCAUCUGUCAGGUGAGUUUUGGUCUGCAGUUCAGUGUACUGUACUGCAUUCUUUGUUACAUAUUUAUAUAGAACAUUAUUUUGUAUUUAAUAUAUAGUGAAACUUUCAAAAUGUAGAACCAUAUGUGUUUUACUUUGUACAUACUGCAUGUGUAUGUGUCUGGCUGUGUUUUUCUUAUAAAAUCACUUAUACAGGUAUAAACUUCUGAUAACUUAGUGCAUAUAAAAAUUUUGAAAGGUCUUAGAUACCACUUUUGUCUUGGGCAAGAUAUAGUAUACAGUACUGUCUUCAGCUGAAGUAAAAAUGUGUAUCCCAUAGGUAUAACUGUAUGUUAGGGACAGUGUGUGAUACAGUGUACAGUAUACCGAACCGUUCAGAUUGCAAGGAAGCAGUGUGGUUGGCACUGCACUUACUAACUAAAGUGUAAAGAUAUCAUUUUAAUUAUGAUUUCUAACACCGUAGCCAGAAAAUGUGAUAAGAACAACCAGGGCAGUGCACAAUGAUUCACUGCCCAAGUUUAUAUGGUACCACAGUGCUGUACAGUACACUACCUUAUACUGUACUGUAUAAAGCUUUUUUAGUCAGUUCUUGUCUGAUAUUUCAUACCUGAUGAAGUCACCUUGAAUAUUCAAUUUUCAUUAUCAUGUGGAAAAUGCAACAUUAGACUUUAUAUUACAGAAGGUUGUACAGUAUAUUCUGCUGGUGAGGUAAAGAAAUGUGUCAAGACUGAUGACUGUGGCCUGGAAGCAUCUGGCCACAUCCAUUGUUAACAUGAUUUAUCAAGGCUUCUCUGACAUAAGUUGAACCUCCCUAAUCCAGACUUCCAUGACCCGGACACUUUUAACUUGUGUCUACGAGCCCCCAUAGUUAAGGGGUUAUGGAAAUCAUACACAGUAACCAAUGACUGACACAGGAAGCCUUUGGACCAGUCACUCAGCAUGGUUGGGGUCACCGCCUCAUCAGUCUUCCUGCUACAAGUGUUUCCAGAAGCCACAGCAAUCGUCACCAAUCUACUUAUAAAUAUGGCAUCAACAAGCAGUCCUCUUCAUGGUGGUGCAGCAAAGUGCAAACAUCAUUCACUGUCUAUUCAAGAAAAAGUUGAAUUAUUGCAGAAGUUAACAAGGGAACUUUAGAAAGGAGAUUGUGUGAUUUGCACUCAUAAUUAAGCAAAUUGUAAAGGGUAUAGGAAAAAAUAAAAAUGUAUCAAUUGU
RNAcentral lists this unclassified non-coding RNA (3350 nucleotides) under Homarus americanus (American lobster). RNAcentral describes it as "potassium channel subfamily K member 16-like, transcript variant X3". The record is from RNAcentral. Lineage: Eukaryota; Metazoa; Arthropoda; Malacostraca; Decapoda; Nephropidae.